This 65-nucleotide transfer RNA is filed under the name Paranurophorus simplex. RNAcentral describes it as "tRNA-His". The record is from RNAcentral. Lineage: Eukaryota; Metazoa; Arthropoda; Collembola; Entomobryomorpha; Isotomidae.
AUUUAAAUAGUUUAAUUUAAAAUAGUGAGGUGUGGUUUCACAGAUAAUUAAUUUUUUUUUAAAUA